UACGAAGGGGGCUAGCGUUGCUCGGAAUCAUUGGGCGUAAAGCGCGUGUAGGCGGCUUUGCAAGUCGGGUGUGAAAGCCCUCAGCUCAACUGAGGAAGUGCGCCCGAUACUGGAUGGCUUGAGUUCGGGAGAGGGAUGCGGAAUUCCAGGUGUAGCGGUGAAAUGCGUAGAUAUCUGGAGGAACACCGGUGGCGAAGGCGGCAUCCUGGACCGACACUGACGCUGAGGAGCGAAAGCCAGGGGAGCAAACGGG
RNAcentral lists this ribosomal RNA (253 nucleotides) under uncultured bacterium. Its description in RNAcentral is "partial 16S ribosomal RNA". It matches the Rfam family "Bacterial small subunit ribosomal RNA", at positions 524 to 776 of the family's 1533-position model. The record is from RNAcentral.